This 253-nucleotide ribosomal RNA is filed under the name uncultured bacterium. RNAcentral describes it as "partial 16S ribosomal RNA". It matches the Rfam family "Bacterial small subunit ribosomal RNA", at positions 524 to 776 of the family's 1533-position model. The record is from RNAcentral.
UACAGAGGGGGCAAGCGUUGUUCGGAAUUACUGGGCGUAAAGGGCGCGUAGGCGGCCUGUUAAGUCGGACGUGAAAUCCCUCGGCUCAACCGGGGAACUGCGUCCGAUACUGGCGGGCUUGAAUUCGGGAGAGGUCGGUGGAAUUGGGGGUGUAGCGGUGGAAUGCGUAGAGAUCCCCAAGAACACCAGUUGCGAAGGCGGCCGACUGGACCCAUAUUGACGCUGAGGCUCGAAAGCAUGGGGAGCAAACAGG